AGAGUUUGAUCAUGGCUCAGAAUGAACGCUGGCGGCGUGCUUAACACAUGCAAGUCGAACGAGAAAGCCUUACUUUCGGGUGGGCGAGUAAAGUGGCGCACGGGUGAGUAACGCGUAGAUGAUCUACCCUUGAGUUCGGGACAACCUUGCGAAAGCGGGGCUAAUACCGGAUACGAUCCUUUCGGGGAUGAAAGUUGGCCGCUCGAAGAAGCUAACGCUCGGGGAUGAGUCUGCGUCCUAUCAGCUAGUUGGUAGGGUAAAGGCCUACCAAGGCGACGACGGGUAGCUGGUCUGAGAGGAUGAUCAGCCACACUGGCACUGACACACGGGCCAGACUCCUACGGGAGGCAGCAGUGAGGAAUUUUGCGCAAUGGGGGAAACCCUGACGCAGCAACGCCGCGUGGGUGAUGAAGGCCUUCGGGUCGUAAAGCCCUGUCAGGUGGGAAGAAUAGCUUGGGGUCUAAUAGGCUUUGAGUAUGACGGUACCACCAGAGGAAGCACCGGCUAACUCCGUGCCAGCAGCCGCGGUAAUACGGAGGGUGCUAGCGUUAUUCGGAAUUACUGGGCGUAAAGCGCGUGUAGGCGGGGAGGUAAGUCUGAUGUGAAAGCCCUGGGCUCAACCUGGGAAGUGCAUUGGAAACUGUUUUCCUUGAGUUCCGGAGAGGAUGGGGGAAUUCCCGGGUGUAGAGGUGAAUUCGUAGAGAUCGGGAGGAAUACCAGUGGCGAAGCGCUCAUCUGGACGGUAACUGACGCUGAGACGCGAAGCGUGGGGAGCAACAGGAUUAGAUACCCUGGUAGUCCACG
RNAcentral lists this ribosomal RNA (804 nucleotides) under uncultured bacterium. RNAcentral describes it as "bacterial SSU rRNA". It matches the Rfam family "Bacterial small subunit ribosomal RNA", at positions 8 to 799 of the family's 1533-position model. The record is from RNAcentral.